This 865-nucleotide long non-coding RNA is filed under the name Nicotiana tabacum (common tobacco). RNAcentral describes it as "long non-coding RNA (NTAB_LNC016658)". The record is from RNAcentral. Lineage: Eukaryota; Viridiplantae; Streptophyta; Magnoliopsida; Solanales; Solanaceae.
UGUAUUGAACCACAUUACCCUUUAUUAAUUUAGUGGGGUUCCCAGAGGUCAACGUCCAGAUCGAAAUUGCAAUUGGACAGGAAAAAAUGAUGAUGAAUUGAUAACUACAAGCGGAACAUGAGUCAAAAUACUUGUUAGUUGUUCAUGAGUUAUUACAUCUGAAAAGUUCACCUUGAUGUAUAUCAUCACUAAGCAUAGUCAAUCGUACCAUUUAAAAUAUCCCAAACAAGCACCAUAAUUGGCUGAACAGCUUGGCCUCAACUUUACACAAUGCUUAGGAUAAAAGAAGAUGCGUUUCUUCUUAACGUGCAGUACCUGCAAACCAAGUUGGAGAAUUGUUGACUAUGAGACCCAUGACAUAAUUUUAAUUUUUAAAUUAAUGUGAAUGUAGCAAGAGGAAUUGACAGGGUAAAAACUCUAGAGAAAAUUUCAUCAUCAUUGGAGCUAAAUAUACAACUAGGUGAGCCAAGACAUUGCGUCACUUCAGUACUGAAAAGACUUUUGUCCUGAAUCCAAGACUUAUGACCUUCCACAUGCCUAGCUAUAGUUUCACAAAUGAAGCUACAAUAUGAUGAAAGAACAGCUAGAGCCCUAAGCAAUAGCAAAAUAAUUUCAGCAGGAUAGGUGUACAACUGCUUUCAAUAACUUGUAUAUGCCAACCAAAUUAUUCCAAACACAAAUCUAAAGUAAAUAUCUAAGUACAAAUCAUGCUUACAGGGAACGAUAUAAACUUCUCUGGAAUAAUUUGGAUAAGCCAGCAGCAGCGUCAAAGGUAAAAAGAUCAAUUGAACUUGGUCUCUUUCCUGUGGUAGAAUCAUCAAUCCAUAUAAAUCCCCUGCCAGAAAAAUUGAUGGUUACUUAUGAU